CCUACGGGUGGCAGCAGUGGGGAAUAUUGCACAAUGGGGGGAACCCUGAUGCAGCAACGCCGCGUGGGUGAAGAAGUACUCCGGUAUGUAAAGCCCUGUUUGUAGGGAAGUAAAUGACGGUACCUGACCAAGAAGCCCCGGCUAACUACGUGCCAGCAGCCGCGGUAAUACGUAGGGGGCAAGCGUUAUCCGGAUUUACUGGGCGUAAAGGGAGCGUAGACGGCAAGGCAAGUCAGAAGUGAAAGCCCGUGGCCCAACCACGGGACUGCAUUGGAAACUGUGAUGCUGGAGUGCAGGAGGGGUAAGCGGAAUUCCUAGUGUAGCGGUGAAAUGCGUAGAUAUUAGGAGGAACACCGAUGGCGAAGGCGGCUUACUAGACUGUAACUGACGUUGAGGCUCGAAAGCGUGGGGAGCAAACAGGAUUAGAUACCCUGGUAGUC
RNAcentral lists this ribosomal RNA (440 nucleotides) under uncultured bacterium. Its description in RNAcentral is "partial 16S ribosomal RNA". It matches the Rfam family "Bacterial small subunit ribosomal RNA", at positions 338 to 795 of the family's 1533-position model. The record is from RNAcentral.